UAGCAAGUCAGAAAAGGCAUGCGGCUGGGUUAACAGCAGACCGGCCCUACCUGGCUUCCAUGACAACAGCAUUAUAUUGGCAGCCCUGAGAACAAGAAGUCUGGAUGCUACCAUGUGUUUGGAAAGCUUCUCAGGAAGUUGGCCCAUGGCUAUCUAGCUGCCAGCCCCUGGGCCUCCUAAGAACUAAAUGUUUUCUUCCACAAGUCGUAAAAAUAAGCAAAGAAGAAAAUACCCUUUGGCCUGUGAGGAAAUGCUCUAAGCUUGUUUAUUCACGGACCUAUUGAAGGACAUCUUGGUUGCUUCCAAGUGUGGGCAGCUAUGAAUAAAGCUGCUAUGAACAUUCACCUGCAGGUUAAGGAACAUAUUGGAUGGAUUGCAUGGAAACCAACAUAUUCCAUCUCCUGAACUCGGAGACCCCCAGGUCCCUACCCCAGCUUCAGCAGAUGGACCUAAUUCUUCUAAACUAGUCAUAAAUAUGUCAUAGGAUAGAUUUGAGAGUUGGCUUGUAGCCUCACUCUAGAUAAUAAAUUAUUAAGGGAAAUUUUCUUAGAAGGUUUCCUUUCCCAAAUAAAAGUC
Long non-coding RNA from Mustela erminea (ermine), 576 nucleotides. RefSeq lists it as uncharacterized. The transcript is spliced from 3 exons. The record is from RefSeq and is a predicted model, not a curated record. NCBI's taxonomy places the organism in Eukaryota, Metazoa, Chordata, Mammalia, Carnivora, Mustelidae.